Molecule: ribosomal RNA, 253 nt
Filed under: uncultured bacterium
Lineage: Bacteria
Description: partial 16S ribosomal RNA
Rfam family: Bacterial small subunit ribosomal RNA
Source: RNAcentral
UACAGGGGGUGCAAACGUUGCUCGGAAUCAUUGGGCGUAAAGCGCACGUAGGCGGUCUGUUAUGUCGGAUGUGAAAGCCCUUGGCUUAACUGAGGAAGUGCACCCGAAACUGGCAGGCUAGAGUACUAAAGAGGGUCGCGGAAUUCCCGGUGUAGAGGUGAAAUUCGUAGAUAUCGGGAGGAACACCGGUGGCGAAGGCGGCGACCUGGGUAGAUACUGACGCUGAGGUGCGAAAGCGUGGGGAGCGAACAGG